CUCAAACAAAUACGAAACGAUAAAGUGUUAAGUGAGAAAUGGAAGGUUUCAACGUAGUGUAUAAAGGAAAAUAACUGGUUAUUGCAGUGAAACAAAACAACAAAGAGAUAGUAGUGAUCGAAAGUGAAAGUGAAACAAAUAGUGAAAAGCAACGAGAAGAAACUUUACUGAACUUACUUAAUUUACAAGAUUUGUUGACUAUCAUGUAAGUCAUCAAAUAUCCGAACACCGCUUCUCCCUAUGGGGUGCCAAAUGACACAGGGGGCACGUUUUGCAAUCAUACAGCUUCUACCCUCCUUUGAGAAUUUCAUUUUUGGAGAGAUGAUCGCGUCAAUGAUUCGUUGAGUUGAGCUAGAUUGACCCUAUUCUAGAACGACGCAAAAGGGAACCUUGUUGGUUGGAGAGUGCGAUGUACAAUCACUCCACUCGUAUGAGAAGAGGCUUCUCAUUCUCAGUACCCCGUAUUAUCAGUUGUCUCUUUCAGUUGUCAAUGUCAGUUUUUCAGUUUAAAUGUGUUUCAGUAUUCUCUUCUCAAUAAAGCAGAGGUAAACACUUAAAUCUCCAUUGGUGUAUAUUUUCCUUCAUUCCAACAGGUUAUGGGCCCAGUUGGCUUUAGUAAAUUGAAGUUGUUUUGUAUAUAUCACCUAGUUUUUGAGAGAACAUGUCAGCCAUUGCUUUUUCCACAAGAGAUGCAAGCCAUAUCAGCAAAUUUAAUGGCUCCAACUUCCCGUUUUGGAAGUUUCAGGUAUCAUUAGUAUUAAAACAACAUGAUUUAAUGGAUGUAGUAUUGGGGAAACAAGUACAACCCCAACAAGCAGUACCAGCCACUGAUGCGAACACCACUGCAAUAAACUCAUGGAACAAAAAGGACAAUUCUGCGAGUUGCUGCAUUGUGGCCACAAUUGAAGAAACAUUUCAACGAUCACUCAUCAAUUGCAAGUCAUCAAAGGAGAUGUGGGAUCGCCUAGCAGCCCAAUACGAACAAGCUGCUUCAGAAAAUAAUAUUUGUUACAGCAACGCUUUUAUAAUUAUUCCUUUAAACAAGGCCAUGAUGUGAUGACACAUAUAACAGAAAUUGAAACCUUGGCCAAUCAGUUGAGUGAUUUAGGUGAAGUUCAAACAGAAAAUCAGAUCAUCACAAAGGUGCUAUGUACUCUUCCACCAAGCUUCAGGUCAGUCGUCUCAGCAUGGGAGAACGUCGAGGAUUCAAAGAAAAAACUCUCACUACUAACUACAAGGCUUCUAAAAGAAGAAAGUCUGAAUAAGAUGCACGACAAUGGAGAAUCAGCAGAAGACAAAGCAUCCCUAGCGGAAUUUUGUCGGGUCGGAUCCCGUAUUGAACCAGUGUGCUUCACCCGUGUGAAGUGUGACACUGGUGAAACACACUGGUGUUACACCUCUUGUUCGCGUGAUAGGGCGGGUUUACACCGGUGUAAGUUAUAAAGCUUUACCCGCAAAUUUUAUAGUUAUUUUGCACCGGUAUUGUUCUAGUUAAAUAUACCCGUAUAAAGCUCAAAUUUGUCCCAGUGGACUUCUCUGAUUAUCCCUACUAUAUUAACCGGUGUAAUACACUAAUAUGUAACUGG
Long non-coding RNA from Daphnia magna, 1586 nucleotides. RefSeq lists it as uncharacterized. Lineage: Eukaryota; Metazoa; Arthropoda; Branchiopoda; Diplostraca; Daphniidae. The record is from RefSeq and is a predicted model, not a curated record. The transcript is spliced from 2 exons.